GACGAACGCUGGCGGCGUGCCUAAUACAUGCAAGUAGAACGCUGAAGGAGGAGCUUGCUUCUCUGGAUGAGUUGCGAACGGGUGAGUAACGCGUAGGUAACCUGCCUGGUAGCGGGGGAUAACUAUUGGAAACGAUAGCUAAUACCGCAUAAUAGCAGUUGUUGCAUGACAGCUGUUUGAAAGGUGCAAUUGCACCACUACCAGAUGGACCUGCGUUGUAUUAGCUAGUUGGUGGGGUAACGGCCCACCAAGGCGACGAUACAUAGCCGACCUGAGAGGGUGAUCGGCCACACUGGGACUGAGACACGGCCCAGACUCCUACGGGAGGCAGCAGUAGGGAAUCUUCGGCAAUGGACGGAAGUCUGACCGAGCAACGCCGCGUGAGUGAAGAAGGUUUUCGGAUCGUAAAGCUCUGUUGUAGGAGAAGAACGAGUGUGAGAGUGGAAAGUUCACACUGUGACGGUAUCUUACCAGAAAGGGACGGCUAACUACGUGCCAGCAGCCGCGGUAAUACGUAGGUCCCGAGCGUUGUCCGGAUUUAUUGGGCGUAAAGCGAGCGCAGGCGGUUAGAUAAGUCUGAAGUUAAAGGCUGUGGCUUAACCAUAGUACGCUUUGGAAACUGUUUAACUUGAGUGCAAGAGGGGAGAGUGGAAUUCCAUGUGUAGCGGUGAAAUGCGUAGAUAUAUGGAGGAACACCGGUGGCGAAAGCGGCUCUCUGGCUUGUAACUGACGCUGAGGCUCGAAAGCGUGGGGAGCAAACAGG
Molecule: ribosomal RNA, 763 nt
Filed under: uncultured Streptococcus sp.
Lineage: Bacteria; Bacillati; Bacillota; Bacilli; Lactobacillales; Streptococcaceae
Description: bacterial SSU rRNA
Rfam family: Bacterial small subunit ribosomal RNA
Source: RNAcentral